ACACUGUCGAUCAAGUUAAACACAUAAAUUUGGAAGCGAUCUCAUUCUUUUAGGUCGCCGUUGCCAUUUCUCGAUUCAACCAGUCAGGCUGCAUGGAUGGUGCUUGCUUCCAUCGACUUCCAUGUUGGCUGAUUCCAUACGUGUUGUGAAGAAAACGUUAUUUGGCUCAAAUGAACGAUUCAUAGGCCUGAAAGAUCGAUCGCGGAGAUCGUACGGCUACUAAACUGAACCUGAUUCAAUGUACUCAAUGAUUCCCAGGGAAUUUUGUUUUGAACUCGUCUUUCAUCGUGGACUGCCCUCAAAAGUGACGGAUAUGUACACACUCGACCCACCAAGUGCAAGUGCAGUGCAUGCAUACGUGCUUGCAUCCAC
This is a long non-coding RNA of Tigriopus californicus, 372 nucleotides long. RefSeq lists it as uncharacterized. Lineage: Eukaryota; Metazoa; Arthropoda; Copepoda; Harpacticoida; Harpacticidae. The transcript has 3 exons. The record is from RefSeq and is a predicted model, not a curated record.